GGCCGCGGGAAUUCGAUUUCCGGUUGAUCCUGCCAGACCCGACUGCUAUCAGAGUGGGACUAAGCCAUGCGAGUCAACGUAGCAAUGCGUGGCGAACGGCUCAGUAACACGUAGUCAACAUGCCCAGGGGACGUGGAUAACCUCGGGGAACUGAGAUUAAACCGCGAUAGGUCAAGAUUUCUGGAAUGGAUCGUGUCUUAAAUCUACAUGGCCCCUGGAUUGGACUGCGGCCGAUCAGGCUGUUGGUGAGGUAAUGGCCCACCAAACCUAUAACCGGUACGGGCUCUGAGAGGAGAAGCCCGGAGAUGGGCACUGAGACAAGGGCCCAGGCCCUAUGGGGCGCAGCAGGCGCGAAACCUCUGCAAUGGGCGAAAGCCUGACAGGGUUACUCUGAGUGAUUUCCGCUAAGGAGAUCUUUUGGCAGCUCUAAAAAUGGUGCAGAAUAAGGGGUGGGCAAGUCUGGUGUCAGCCGCCGCGGUAAUACCAGCACCCCGAGUGGUCGGGACGAUUAUUGGGCCUAAAGCAUCCGUAGCCGGUUGUGCAAGUCCUCCGUUAAAUCCAGCCGCUCAACGGAUGGGCUGCGGAGGAUACUACAGGACUAGGAGGCGGGAGAGGCAAGCGGUACUUAGUGGGUAGGGGUAAAAUCCUUUGAUCCAUUGAAGACCACCAGUGGCGAAGGCGGCUUGCCAGAACGCGCUCGACGGUGAGGGAUGAAAGCUGGGGGAGCAAACCGGAUUAGAUACCCGGGUAGUCCCAGCUGUAAACGAUGCAGACUCGGUGAUGGGCUAGCCUCGUGUCAGCCCAGUGCCGCAGGGAAGCCGUUAAGUCUGCCGCCUGGGGAGUACGGUCGCAAGACUGAAACUUAAAGGAAUUGGCGGGGGAGCACCACAAAGGGUGAAGCCUGCGGUUCAAUUGGAUUCAACGCCGGGAAUCACUAGUGAAUUC
This 945-nucleotide ribosomal RNA is filed under the name uncultured archaeon. RNAcentral describes it as "bacterial SSU rRNA". It matches the Rfam family "Archaeal small subunit ribosomal RNA", at positions 1 to 940 of the family's 1478-position model. The record is from RNAcentral.